Molecule: ribosomal RNA, 468 nt
Filed under: uncultured bacterium
Lineage: Bacteria
Description: partial 16S ribosomal RNA
Rfam family: Bacterial small subunit ribosomal RNA
Source: RNAcentral
GACGAACGCUGGCGGCGUGCUUAACACAUGCAAGUCGAACGGUAAGGCCCUGCUUUUGUGGGAUGCUCGAGUGGCGAAAGGGUGAGUAACACGUGAGUAACCUGCCCUUGACUUUGGGAUAACUUCAGGAAACUGGGGCUAAUACCGGAUAGGAGCUCCUGCUGCAUGGUGGGGGUUGGAGAAUUUCGGCGGUUUGGGACGGACUCGGGGCCUAUCAGCUUGUUGGUGGGGUAGUGGCUUACCAAGGCUUUGACGGGUAGCCGGACUGCGAGGGUGACCGGCCACAUUGGGACUGGGAUACGGCCCAGACUCCUACGGGAGGCAGCAGUGGGGAAUAUUGCACAAUGGGCGGAAGCCUGAUGCAGCAACGCCGCGUGCGGGAUGACGGCCUUCGGGUUGUAAACCGCUUUCGCCUGUGACGAAGCGUGAGUGACGGUAAUGGGUAAAGAAGCACCGGCUAACUACGUG